GGAGAGGUUUUUCAUAUGAUCUUUUCUUCUUUCCUCUCUUCCUCUUUUUCUUACUCCUCUUUUCUCUAAAUUUUCUCUUUUUCUUUUCUCUUACUUUCUUCUUUUUUCACAAUUUUUCUCUUUUUUUCUUUUCUUAUUUUUUAUUUAUUUUUGCAUAUUUUUUCUUUUUUUCUUCUUUCUCAUCAUCUUUCUCUCUCUCACUCAACCUUUUGGUUUCUUCUUCCUCUAUUUUUUUUCUCCUCUAUCUCUAUCUUUUCCUCAUCUCUCUCUAUUUUUUCUUCCUCAACAACCUUUUCU
This 297-nucleotide long non-coding RNA is filed under the name Vigna radiata. Its description in RNAcentral is "long non-coding RNA (VRAD_LNC008673)". Lineage: Eukaryota; Viridiplantae; Streptophyta; Magnoliopsida; Fabales; Fabaceae. The record is from RNAcentral.